UACGUAGGGUGCAGGCGUUAAUCGGAAUUACAGGGCGUAAAGCGUGCGCAGGCGGUUUCUUAAGUCAGAUGUGAAAGCCCCGGGCUUAACCUGGGAACUGCGUUUGAAACUGGGAGACUUGAGUGUGGCAGAGGGGGGUGGAAUUCCACGUGUAGCAGUGAAAUGCGUAGAUAUGUGGAGGAACACCGAUGGCGAAGGCAGCCCCCUGGGUUAACACUGACGCUCAUGCACGAAAGCGUGGGGAGCAAACAGG
Molecule: ribosomal RNA, 253 nt
Filed under: uncultured bacterium
Lineage: Bacteria
Description: partial 16S ribosomal RNA
Rfam family: Bacterial small subunit ribosomal RNA
Source: RNAcentral